This is a long non-coding RNA of Carassius gibelio (silver crucian carp), 475 nucleotides long. RefSeq lists it as uncharacterized. The record is from RefSeq and is a predicted model, not a curated record. NCBI's taxonomy places the organism in Eukaryota, Metazoa, Chordata, Actinopteri, Cypriniformes, Cyprinidae. The transcript is spliced from 3 exons.
AGGAAGUAAUCGACAACUGUCCUUUGUUUCUUUUUUAAAAUGUGUUUUAUAAAAAUAAUUUGACAGAUAUGACUUAUUAGAGCAUAUGAAAAUAAUAAGUACAUAUGUGCGCAUUUGACAGACGCUUUCAACCAAAGCGACUUAUGUAUUAUAUUGUUUCCUGUGUGUGUGUGUGAAGGGAUUGGAAAGGAAGACGUGAUCAAUAUAUUUUAUUAACGCUCAAGCGAGGACAGCUUGUUACAGAAUCCUCCAAAUCUUCAACAACGAGACUUUGAUCUUUCAUGUCAUCAGAAUGGGCUCAACCAGAGACACUCUUCUGAUCAACUCUCCACAAACUCAGCUCCUGUGGACACAAAACCAGUGCUUGAUGAAUAUUCUCUGGAAACUAGGAACAGCGUGCACUGUUACACACCAUAAAAACAAACUUUUUAUAUUUUCAGUGAAUGUCAUAAAUAUCGCUCCUUACCAAUCACAA